RNAcentral lists this unclassified non-coding RNA (204 nucleotides) under soil metagenome. RNAcentral's name for it is "partial contains 5.8S ribosomal RNA, internal transcribed spacer 2, and large subunit ribosomal RNA". The record is from RNAcentral.
AACAAGGCGUACCUGCGGACCUGCGGAGGGAUCAUUACCGAGUUUACAACUCCCAAACCCCUGUGAACAUACCUAUACGUUGCCUCGGCGGAUCAGCCCGCGCCCCGUAAAACGGGACGGCCCGCCCGAGGACCCUAAACUCUGUUUUUAGUGGAACUUCUGAGUAAAACAAACAAAUAAAUCAAAACUUUUAACAAUGGAUCU